Molecule: ribosomal RNA, 253 nt
Filed under: uncultured bacterium
Lineage: Bacteria
Description: partial 16S ribosomal RNA
Rfam family: Bacterial small subunit ribosomal RNA
Source: RNAcentral
UACGUAGGUGGCAAGCGUUGUCCGGAAUUAUUGGGCGUAAAGCGCGCGCAGGCGGUUUCUUAAGUCUGAUGUGAAAGCCCACGGCUCAACCGUGGAGGGUCAUUGGAAACUGGGAAACUUGAGUGCAGAAGAGAAGAGCGGAAUUCCACGUGUAGCGGUGAAAUGCGUAGAGAUGUGGAGGAACACCAGUGGCGAAGGCGGCUCUUUGGUCUGUAACUGACGCUGAGGCGCGAAAGCGUGGGGAGCGAACAGG